CCUACGGGAGGCAGCCGUGAGGAAUAUUGGUCGAUGGGCGCGUGCCUGAACCAGCCAAGUCGCGUGAGGGAUGACGGUCCUACGGAUUGUAAACCUCUUUUGCCGGGGAGCAAGCGUGCGUUCGUGAACGCGCGUCGAGAGUACCCGGAGAAAAAGCAUCGGCGAACUCCGUGCCAGCAGCCGCGGUAAUACGGAGGAUGCGAGAGUUAUUCGGAUUUAUUUGGUUUAACGGUUGCGUGGGCGGGAUGGAAAGUCAGCGGUAAAAAUGCGGUGCUCAACGCCGUCGAGCCGUUGAAACUGGCGUUCUUGAGUGGGCGAGAAGUAUGCGGAAUGCGUGGUGUAGCGGUGAAAUGCAUAGAUAUCACGCAGAACUCCGAUUGCGAAGGCAGCAUACCGGCGCCCUACUGACGCUGAGGCACGAAAGCGUGGGUAUCGAACAGGAUUAGAUACCCGUGUAGUC
This 460-nucleotide ribosomal RNA is filed under the name uncultured bacterium. Its description in RNAcentral is "partial 16S ribosomal RNA". It matches the Rfam family "Bacterial small subunit ribosomal RNA", at positions 338 to 795 of the family's 1533-position model. The record is from RNAcentral.